AAUCAAGCCAUAUCUAAAGAGCAGAAUAUCAUUGAAAUGUACGGCUGAAUAAGACUCAGAUGUUUAGGUUGUAGACUGAACUUUGCUUGUGUUAUCAUCAUAAACAGAGUUAGCGAUCAUGUGAGCUGGUCUGGAGUCACAAAGCAGCGCUGACAGUCUGGCAGGAAGCACAUUAGACAUUGAGCUGUUGCUGAUGCCUUUAUCUCGAUGCAAACUAGUCCACAUUAAGUGUAGAAAAAGUGCCUCGGGUCUGAUGCCACGAGUCCAAUGCGGUCUUUUAAGGUCAGACUCUGUCUGUCUGCCGUCCCUGAUGAGCAUGUUUGCUGCCAAAGGGCGAGGCACUUCCAACAUUGUUUAACAUACAAAAGUAAACAAAAUUGUCUAUAAAAUUAUCAUAAUUAUGCCUAUAUAUUGGCGACUGUAAGGUGUUUUCAAAAUUGUCUUUGAAAGAAGUCUCUUCUGUUCAAGGCUGCAUUUAUUUUAUCAAAAGCCAAGCCCCGCCCACUAGACUGUCUGAUUGACGGCUGUUCUUCAGAAUAAACUACAUCAUCAUAACUUUAUGCAAGGACUGGCUUGUUCCAUAAAUGCAUGUGAAACCAAAAGUGUGAGAAGAGACCACACCACCCACACUUCAUUUACAUAGAGCUGUAGAUGUCAUCACACACACACCUGCCAGCUCAACCUGGGUGAUGUUAGAUGAAGCUAACCACGGAAAUCUUGGCCUUAGCUAAGCUGACUAUUAAGAGGCCUUAUUUUGGCUGCACAACCCCCUUUUUUUUCUCAGACGUGUAUUUCCUGUACAAGUCAGUCAACCUCAAUUCUAACAUUUAAAUGCGAGUUUUUCAGAGUGGAUGCUAUGCUGUAUGUGCAAAUGACAGGGGAUUUUAACAGGAAACCACAUCUCUUCUCAUCUGGCAAUGACAGCAUGCUUUUCAUGAGCUACGGCAAAGACAACAUUAGAGCGUCUGUUUUGCCUUUUUAAAAAGAAAAGCUUUUAGUUUUCAUUUGAAUGCCUUACGCUAUUGAUCGAUGAAAGGGUACGUUCAUGAAAGCUGUGCUGUUACUUUGUAACCAGACUUCGGAAUGUUUGCUUGUAACAUUCUUAACAGCUGCUUAGCAACACCCUAGCAACGGCUUAAAAAUGUUUAGUAUUCUGUUUUUAUUUUGCAUUGAACUCUCCUAACUGGCAUAAUUACCGGACUAGACCAGCCUUUUUUUACUUCAUCAUGCUUUUUUUUUAUUACUGUUGCACAUGUGGCACAUGUGGCACAUCUGGCGCUCUGCCUGAAUCAUUACUUACUUUUUAUGUUCCGCUCGCCGUCGCCAUGGAAACUGCUGCAUGUUUGGCAGCGAGCCUUUGAAGGAGAGCGAGAGCGGCCGCGCGCAACAGAGAGGAUUGCGAGCUCUCAGGAAUUGGCCUAUAUCCAGUGUAAUCAUGGCGGGGAGCUGAAAUGAGGCGUUUGGCAGCACACCAGGUUUCAGAGAACAAAGAUGUGAGCCACUAAUGUUGGCUGCAGAGCCUGCUUGGCAUCCUUUACCAUUUCCCAGCAGCCCCUGCCACGGCUGCCUGCCAAGCCGCCCUCCCCUCCCCUGCUGGGACUGCAAAGAGGAUCUGAAUAAAGAAAGAGAGUUGUUUUUCUCCAGCUCCUCUGCUCCGAUGACAUCACCUCUGCAGCCUCCAGCCCCCAGAUUCCAGACGCCCAGCACAUUUCUUCUGCUUCUCUUUCUUCUCUCUCAGGCCCUCCAUUUUGACUAAAUUCCUCCAUUUUAUAAUUGCUCUACCUCCUCAGUGUCACCAAAUAUUUGCUGUUUGCUCCGACAAAGUGAGAACGCUCCAAUGAGUAUAUUUUUGUCAGUAUAUAAUGUACAUAGUUCAUAACAACCAGAUGAAUAUAUGCCUGUUUUGAAAAUAUCCAGAAAUUAAUAGUUUCAGUAAAUCAGUUUUGAUUAUAUAUAGUUGUGUGUGUGUGUGUGUGUGUGUGUGUGUGUGUGUGUAUACACACACAUGUACAUCUAUAAUAUAUACAUAUAAUUUGUGUAAUCAUUUAUCAAAGUAAAUGUCAUCAGAUGUAACAAUCAUAAAUUAUGAAUUUAUUAGUCAUUUAAA
Molecule: long non-coding RNA, 2107 nt
Organism: Cyprinus carpio carpio
Lineage: Eukaryota; Metazoa; Chordata; Actinopteri; Cypriniformes; Cyprinidae
Source: Ensembl